CCUACGGGAGGCAGCAGURAGGAAUCUUCCACAAUGGGGGCAACCCUGAUGGAGCAACGCCGCGUGCAGGAUGAAGGCCUUCGGGUUGUAAACUGCUUUUAUAAGUGAGGAAUAUGACGGUAACUUAUGAAUAAGGAUCGGCUAACUACGUGCCAGCAGCCGCGGUAAU
This 169-nucleotide ribosomal RNA is filed under the name uncultured bacterium. Its description in RNAcentral is "partial 16S ribosomal RNA". It matches the Rfam family "Bacterial small subunit ribosomal RNA", at positions 338 to 524 of the family's 1533-position model. The record is from RNAcentral.